CAACAAUAUAUGCAUUUAACAACUUCUUUGGCUUCCCUAAUUUCCAUACCAGCAAUAUGUAAAUAUAGGCAUUUUUAUUCAGUCAGUAGAGGGCGCUUUUCUAAGAGCUCCAUAUUGUUGGUGUAUCUGAGUGUAAACCAGAGCCCCACAGCAAAAAUACUCACAGUUAUGUGCCUGUAAACUACAAUAAAUGUGUUUAAAUAAGAUCCAUU
This is a non-coding RNA of Pelobates cultripes (western spadefoot toad), 212 nucleotides long. NCBI's taxonomy places the organism in Eukaryota, Metazoa, Chordata, Amphibia, Anura, Pelobatidae. The record is from the annotation of a GenBank genome assembly.